CAUAGGACAUCAACAGACGGGGUGGAUACUCAAACGAAACACCAAUAAUGAUGGCAUUGAAGAGAGAACACUAUGAUAUUUAUCAUCUCCUUGUAUCUGAGGGCGCAGAUCUGACCCUUACUGAUGAAGACAACACUGACUGCCUGAUGUUGGCAUGUGAAGGAGGUAACAUAUCUAUUGUGAAACACAUCCUAUCAAUGAAAACAUGGGACAUCAACAGACGGGGUGGAUACUCAAUCGAAACACCAAUAAUGAUGGCAUUGAAAAGAGAACACUAUGAUAUUUAUCAUCUUCUUGUAUCUGAGGGUGCAGAUCUGACACUUAAUGAUAGAGACGACACUGACUGCCUGAUGUUGGCAUGUGAAAGAGGUAACAUAUCUAUUGUGAAACACAUCCUAUCAAUGAAAACAUGUGGUAUCAACAGACGGGAUGGAUACUCAAA
This is a long non-coding RNA of Haliotis rubra (blacklip abalone), 442 nucleotides long. RefSeq lists it as uncharacterized. Lineage: Eukaryota; Metazoa; Mollusca; Gastropoda; Lepetellida; Haliotidae. The transcript is spliced from 2 exons. The record is from RefSeq and is a predicted model, not a curated record.